This 3955-nucleotide long non-coding RNA is filed under the name Taeniopygia guttata (zebra finch). RNAcentral describes it as "lncRNA (ENSTGUG00000022212.1)". The record is from RNAcentral. Lineage: Eukaryota; Metazoa; Chordata; Aves; Passeriformes; Estrildidae.
UUUUUUUUUUUUUUUUUUUUUUAGCAUGUCAACUGGAAAAGCUUCCAGGAGUCACUGCAUUUCUCUCAGCUCUCUAAAGAGAGAGGGAUCAAUGCUUUUUUCUGAGCCAAGCACAACCUCAACUCACAGCAAGAGCUCUGUUUGUAUGACCAACCACCCAGAUGCUGGGGCUGCACCGUGUCCAUGUGUGCAUUUUAAUUGUGAGUUUUUAAUAGUAACAGGAAAUGUGCAAUGAAACUACCUACUCCAUAAGGCAAACAUCCCCCUGGGCUGCAUUUCGCUGCCCUUGCUUAUGCAAGACCAGCAAAAAAAGGCAAUAUUUGGCAAUCAGGAGGUGGCAAACACAUUUUUCACGUAAGCCUGGACAGAAAUAACCGGGUUACCGUUCAGACUGAGCAGAGCUUAACUCCGUGGCCUGGGGCUGCCCAGGGCAGCUGCAGCAGCAGGGAGGGAGGGAGGCUGGAGCUGCACACACCAGGUCAGCCCUAAAGGACCGGCUGAGGCUCCCAGGCUGAAAUUGUAAAUACAGACUGUUCCAAGGAUCCAGCCCAGCAGCAGCACCUCCCAUCCCCUCCGUGUGCUUCCCAGCAGCAUGAAAGAGAAGGGAUAAAAAAGGGAUAAGGAAAGGCUGAGCCAGCCUGACCUCAGCGUUUUCUUGUUCAGCUUUUCAUUUCCUGAUUUGGAAUCUUUACCUAAGACACCUUGAGGUUUAGUGCUGUUUCUUUGGGCAAGAAGCAAUUGGAAUUGAUUUGUCCACUUUGUGAUGUGCUUUUCUUUUGUUGGAAAAGGAUAGAAGAGUUUCCAGUGUGAAUUUGCAAAUCUAUUUUUAAGCCUUGCUGCAAAUAAAAUGAAAGAACUUAAAUUUCCCUCAGCUGUUGCCAGCGACAAAGCUGGGGGGUGAUUUUUCCUCCUUUUGUACAAAUGAAAUGUUAUUUCUCCUUGUCUUCACACAUGCAUAUUUUUAUAUAGAGUGAUAUAUUAUGGGUUUCUCUCAAGAACAAAAGGAUAUGGUGGAAAUCUGAACAACUGCAGACUGAUAAAAUACAGUGAGUCAGAGCAAACCUGGGCUGCUCUAAUUGCACCCGUACAAAUAUACCUUAAUGACCACAGGAUCAAAAAUAUGCCCCUUUAAUCAUUGCACAACUUUAUUAGCUCCUGCCCUGUUUUAGUUAAUGACUGCCUGAAUUAACAUUGCCCUUUUCUACCUGCUAUGAUACACUAAAAUGUUGUAUUUUUGUGUGCUGGUCUCAUCAGCAGAUAGUGCAGCUGCCCUGGAAGUGUUACACAAUUGGAAAAAGCAGGUGAAAUGCUCCACAUCACCAUUAAAACCAUAGGAAUACAUCCAAUAAAAGGUGGUCUGGGUGCAGGAAAGGUGGGGGAACCCAAGCCUGCAGAAUUUAUAGGCUGCUGCAGUUCAUGUGUAAUGAGUAAAAUAGAAUAUUUGUCCUUCAAGUUUUGUUGAUGACAAAGACAUACACAGUUUAGUGUGUGCCCCUGCUUUCAAACUGUGAUUUUAUCCAUUGGAUUCAAAUGGAAUGAGCAGGAUACAUACUGAAAUUAUGAUUAGAUACUGAUUUUUCAGGAUGUCUCACUCUUUUGUUUUUAAUUUAAAUUUCUCUUGGAAGGCAGAAUUAUUUUCCCGAUGUAAGAAAUAUUACUGUGCCAUCCAAGUGACUUUCUGUUCCUGGCAUUCUUGGAAGCAACAUGCCAGUUACAGAUGUGAAAAGAGAACAAGAAAUUAAUGAUAGAAUCCUUGGUUUUCACCAGUGGAGGUGUCCCAGUUAAAAUGCCAGUGGCAGGAGAACUUGGGCCACGCUCUCAGGCAUGCACAGGGGGGACUGUAGGGGAGUCUCUGCAGAGCCAGGACUGAAUUGUGGCUCCCUCCUAACUCAGGAGAUUCUCAGGAAUUCUCAGGAGAUUCAUCACAGGAUGAAAUACCCUAUGAUUCUAUGAAAAUAAAUCCAUAUUUCUGAAGACUUUGUACUUUAUCACAGCUGCUUAGUCUGACCUUUCUCUAAUUUCUGUUUCCAUGGAUGUUUAAACAAGAACAGAAUAUGAUCUGAUUUUCAUGUUUCCUCAUAAUCUUAUUCCGAAAAGCAGCCUUUGCUGAAAUUUGCCAAGAUAAUUCAGUCUAAGCAUGGAUAUGGUAGGCAUGGAAAAACUGACUCUGACCAAUUAAAGCACAGAAAAAUAUUAGAAUGGAAAUGUAUGCAAUCAACACGGAAUAAAACAUCUCAAAAUGGAAAAUAGUGGGCACCUUUGGCAGCCUAGGCAAUUAAUCAUUUAAAUGAUGUUUUAAAACAAAACCCAACAGAACACAUAUGAAAACUCUCUGACAGAUUUCCAUGAGCAAGUUUGCUUACCAAGUUUUUGUUCAGACAACCUUUAGUUUGGGUUUUUAUUUUCUACUGAAAUGCUGCUAUUUGAUAUUUUAUUGCUUUAUAAGCUCAUAUACACUGCAGUGAAAUCAUGGAACCACAAGGAGUGGUGAGGAGACAUGGAAUCAUCUAUUUUAGAAUUGUUACUUCUUGCUUUCAGGGAGUUUCUGAAGCUGUAAUUUUGGGAGAGGUUUAUUUGUUUCCUUUCCUCUCUCAGGAUUCAGCUUCCUACCCUGAUACCAAGGUUGUGGGUUUUGUCCCUGUGUCUAUCAUCCUUAUGAGAUGGGAAGUGUUUCCUUCUGGCAUUUUUCUGCUCUUGUCCCAGGUAUUUGGGAAGAUUCGUGAGAAGCAAGAAUUCUUCUCCUCCAGUCAUGGUUUAUCCCACAACGUAAAAUAUGAUGUGUUCAUAAAAGUUGUCCUUGAUUCCAGCUCUGGUUUGGCUUCAAUCUCAGCUCAAGCACCAAGAAAAAUUUUUCUGCACCAUUUAUAAAAUAACUUCUUCAAUUAAUGCCGUAAUCCAAAUUUCAUUAUAUUUAUUGCUAAAUUAGAGUUAGAAGUUCCAUUUAGUCCCUUUUAUAAAAUUACUUCCCAAUUUCACAGCAGAAGUCAUUCUGUUCCUGUUUGAUUUCCCUCUGGAGAGCUGCAGAGCCCAGAGUAUCAGCCAGGUCCUGUGUGAGCCCUGCCCUUGGAGUCACUGCCACCCUGCCUCUUGUCACUCCCCAGGGACAGCUGGGAGCCAUUCCAGCACACCCAGUCCUCUAAAACCCAGCACUGAGUUUUCCCCUUUCCCCAAAGAAGCAAAGUAUUCCUUGCUAAUUUGUCCCUUUUAGAUUAGGGAUGUAUUGAUACUGUUAUUAUUUAUCUAUGUUAAAUUAUAGCUUUUGUGUUUGAGUUGCUUGACACAGUGCUUUUUAUUUUCCAGGACACAAGGUCACAGUCCUUUCCCAAGGACUUUGCACGUUUGGUUUUUGCCUGCUAACAGUCCCUGAUAUCACUUACCAAAACAAGAUAUGGAAGCAGAAAUCACAGAAACCAACAAAAGCACAAAGGAAAUCUUUUAUGAAGGGCUCAUUAGAAUGAAGGCUUGGUUAAAGCUGCAUCCUUAGAUGGAUUAGUUCUGGAUCACACUUUGCAGACAAACCUCCAGAUUCAGCUACAGAACCUGGAGGAGACAAUUUAUAAAUUCUUUCAUAAAUCAAAAAGCAAUUCCUACAAACAUUAAUGAUCAGUCCACUCAGGAUCAGACUUAGAAAAUUAAAAUUAAACUUUCUACUGCCUUGUGGAGAUACCUUAAAAUACGGCCUGCAAUUUUACCAUGCUUAGCUUGGGAUAUUUCAAAUGCUUUAGGAGCUGAUCAGGGUAAGAACAGCCUAAUUCUCCAAGUGCCAUCCAAGCCAGACAGACACUGUGGGGUGGAGCAAACCAGGUGGCUCCUGAGAGUGGGCCAGGUAGUCUCCCUCUUUACAGGAGGGGUCAAGGCACAUAGAUCAAGUCUAAAUGCAUUCCAUUUAACUAAGAAAAAGGUAUAAUAUGAUCAUAUUUUACAAGAGAUUAUAAUGAAAAGGGUUUGUGGUAGG